GAGUUCUCCAGAGAAUUCUGGAACCUCCUGGAGCAGUCUAGGCAAUUCUCCCAGUUUCUAGACAAAAAGACCAAGUGGCAGCCUCUGAUUGGUCCAGCUGAUCCAACGGCCAGGAAUUUUUCUUAUUUUCUUGAAUUAUCUCAGCCAUUAGAUGAGGAGGUGGGGGAACACUAUAAAUACCCCCUCCCCCUGCUUGAUUUGUACAGAUUGUGAAAGUGAAUUGUGAGUGAGUGUGUACUGUAAAGAGUGCUCUUGUAAUUCUUUCUUAUAGCAAUACAAAGCAAGCUUCCCUUUUCAAUCUUCUGUAAUCACUCUACUUCCUUCUUUGCUUGUUACUUGUUUUCAUUGGCCAAUUGCUUCCAAGGGUGCCAUAGCACUCUGCUGAGUUCAACCUCCUAUAGGUGAACUGCUGCUGGUGAGAAGGCUGACUUAGCCCAGAAGAGUGGUCUAAGUGCCGCACGUGGCCUUGGAGAGACGAAAUCAUUGGGUCUUCUAGCAAGGAACGUGACAAGUGGUAUCAGAGCUGUUGGAAGAAGGCAUGGCAGAUCCAGUUGAGCAAUCUGUCCAUGGUGGCCAAGCUGGUGGCGAGGAGUAGCCUACUGUGGUGUCUCAGCCUGCUGGACGCAAGAAGGGGACCAGAGGUAAGUCUCGUGAACCCUCUCGCACUGUUAGUGAGUUGGGGGAUGUGGAGACUAGGCUGGCCAAGGUAGAGCUGAAGCUCAUGGAUGGCGAGGAGAAGUUCGAGGAAAUAGACUUGCACUUGGAAGAACUCACAACGGCUGCUGAUGAGUUUUGGGAGGAGGUGCAAACUGCCUUGAACGGUGCCAUCGAUAGGCUGGCUAGUGAUAAUGAGACAACCCACCACAGCCUGGGUGAGGAAAUUGCCACGCUGAAGGAAGAAAAUCGGUUCUUACGGAAAGAACUGGAUAGAGUGCUGGGCAGAGUAAGGGAAGUAGUGGACGAGCUAGCAUUGUUGAAGAGAGCCGUGGCACAAGGCAGCGUUGCUAGCCCGUCCAUGUCCGUGGGGAUGGCAGCCACUCCACAGCGGAUGGAGGUGCCAAAACCUGCCCCUUUCAAAGGCUCCAGGAAUGUCAAGGAGAUAGAUAACUUCUUGUGGAGCAUGGAGCAAUUCUUUAGAGCCAUGGGGAUCACUGAUGAAGGUGUUAAGGUGGACAGUGCAUCCCUAUAUUUGGCCGACACUGCCAUGGUAUGGUGGAGGAGGUGUUAUGCUGACAUAGAGAAAGGCCUUUGCACAAUCGCUACUUGGAGUGAUUUCAAGAGAGAGCUAAAGAAGCAAUUUUAUCCGGAGAAUGCUGCCUCGGAGGCGAGAGCCAAGCUGCGUAGGCUGACACAACGGGGGAGUAUUCGGGACUAUGUCAAGAAAUUCUCCGAGGUAAUUCUUGAGAUCCCUGACUACCCUGAUAAUGAAGCCUUGUUUGCUUUCUUGGAUGGCUUGCAGCAUUGGGCCAAGCUAGAAGUCCAGAGAAGGGGUGCUCAAGACUUGGCCACAGCAAUUGCCAUUGCUGAGUCCUUGGUGCAAUUUAGAAAGCAGCCCGAUAAAGGCAAGACCAAGAUUACCAAGGGCAAGGGACCUGCUGAAGCCAACCCCAAGCCCAGUGACAGCCAAAAGAGUGGCAAAAAGAAGGAGAAUACUUUUAAAUUCAAGAAGCCUGAAUAUUUCUCCAAUAAGAAUGCAGCUGCCCGGUUGCCUAUGAAAUGCUUCCUUUGUGAAGGCCCUCACCGUGCUAGAGACUGUCCAAAGAGAAAUAAGCUCUCUGCUAUGGUGGAUGACAAAGAAGGCAGCACCAAAAAGCCUGAUGAGGCAAGCAUGGGAUCACUCCAACUGGCAGCGAUAAGCAAGCAGGAGCCGCUUAAGGAAAGGAAGGGCCAGCUCUAUGUCAACAUGACAAUAGGGGACAACAAGGUGUGCGCCUUGGUUGACACUGGUGCUUCCAACAAUUUUCUUAGGCUGGAGGAUGCAAAUCGGAUGGGAGUGAGUUAUGAACCCACUCUGGCAUGGCUGAAGGCAGUCAACUCCAAGCCCAACAUGGUCCAUGGUGUGGCAAGAGAUGUGAAGGUACAAAUAGGUGAGUGGCUUGAAACUCUUGACUUCACAAUUGUAAUUAUGGAUUAUUAUCCUUGUGUUUUGGGGAUGGAAUUCAUGGACAAGGUGAAGGCAAUCCCCAUCCCCUUUGCUGACUCAAUGUGCAUCAUGGAAAAUGGGAACAUUUGCACUGUAACGACCCCAAAAUGGACCGUCACCGGCGCUAGGAUUCAGGUCGGCUUAAGGCCGCCAGAAAAUCAAAUCUUUGCAUGAUGAAAUGAAAACAUGAAGAAAUACUCACAAAAGACAGAGUUUCACCUCAGCAAGUAAAAGAAACGGUGCUCUACCGCUUCAACCGACUGAGGGCCAUUUAUAGGUGGCUGGCCAGACCACCUUCGGCGGCCACACGUGAAACCGAAAGCCAUGCAUGUUCGGCGGCCGAACCUCAACUUCGGCGGCCGAACCUGGCUUUUCUGCCUUGGUUCAUUUCACUCAAAAAAACUCAUUUCCUUAUGUUUUAACACUAUAAAACAUACCAAAACAUGUUAGAAAAACAUCACUCUAACCCUUCUAGAGACUUCCGACAUCCUGGACUCUACCGGAAAGUAGAAUUCCGAUGCCGGACUCUAGCCGGGUAUUACAUGCACCAUUCCCCUAGCACGGGGAAAGUCUAGCCAUAGCCAGUCUCUUUCGGCUAUGCAACUUAGUAAGGGAGUCAGGAGGAAGGAGCCAACCUAUCUUGUCUCCUUGAAGGAGGCGAACAAGGAAGUAAGGAUUGAUGCCAUACCUGUGGAGGUGCUGGAUGUCUUGGAAGAGUCCAAGGAACUGAUGCCACCAGAAUUACCUAAGAAACUACCACCAAGAAGAGAGGUGGAUCAUGCUAUUGAGUUGGAGCCUGGUGCCAAACCACCCUCGGGUGUGCCUUAUAGGCUUGCACCCCCAGAAUUGGAAGAGCUGAGGAGGAGCUUAAGGAGCUUCUGGAAGCUGGUUUCGUCCAACCGUCCAAAUCGCCCUAUGGAGCUCCUGUCCUAUUUCAGAAGAAGAAAGACGGCUCACUGCGAAUGUGUGUGGACUAUCGGGCUCUAAAUAAAAUCACUGUGAAGAAUAAGUACCCAAUCCCAUUGCCUGCGGACCUUUUUGAUAGGCUUGGUGGUGCCCGCUGGUUCACCAAGCUGGACUUGAGAUCGGGUUAUUGGCAGGUUCGCAUAGCCGAGGGAGAUGAACACAAGACGGCUUGUGUAACGAGGUAUGGAUCCUAUGAGUUUCUUGUGAUGCCUUUUGGCCUCACUAAUGCACCUGCCACAUUCUGCACUCUCAUGAAUAAAGUGCUCUACCCCUUCCUUGAUAAAUUUGUAGUAGUGUACUUGGAUGAUAUUGUUAUCUAUAACAAUACACUACAAGAGCAUGUUAAGCAUUUGAGGCAGGUCUUCAAGGUGUUGAAAGAAAAUGAAUUGUAUGUCAAGAAGGAGAAGUGCCUCUUUGCACAAAAGGAGAUACCCUUCCUUGGCCACAUAGUGGGAGAAGGCAAGGUAAGGAUGGAUCGAAGUAAAAUCAAAGCCAUUAAUGAAUGGCAGCCUCCAAAGAAAGUAACGGAGCUACGAUCCUUCCUCGGACUAGCCAACUAUUAUCGGAGAUUCAUUAAAGGCUACUCUUCCAUUGCUGCCCCACUAACUGAUCUACUGAAGAAGAACAACCAGUGGGAUUGGGAUGAUAGGUGUCAAAGGGCUUUUGAAGCACUGAAGCAUGCCAUGGUGGAAGAACCAGUGCUUGCCCUGCCCGAUUUCUCCAAACCAUUCGAAGUCCAAAUUGAUGCCUCUGACUAUGCCAUAGGCGGGGUGCUAAUGCAAGAAGACCACCCAGUUGCGUAUGAAAGCCGGAAGCUAAACGACACCGAGAGGCGCUAUACGGUCCAAGAAAAAGAAAUGACCGAUGUAGUGCACUGCUUAAGGACGUGGAGGCAUUAUCUUCUGGGAUCUAAAUUUGUGGUGAGGACAGACAAUGUAGCUACCAGCUAUUUUCUGACCCAGAAGAAGCUGACACCAAAGCAAGCCCGAUGGCAAGCCUUUCUGGGAGAGUUCGACUUCACGAUGGAGUACAAGCCAGGCCGUGCGAAUCUUGUGGCUGAUGCUCUAUCCAGGAAGGCGGAACUGGCAGCCACAAGCGUGCCUACAUUACCGCUGGAGGAGCGGAUAAAAGAGGGCAUGAAGCAUGAUAAGUACUCGCAGGAGUUGCUGGAUUGGGCUCGGCUUGGCAGGGUGCGAAGUAUGUCAUUGAUGGGGAGCUGCUUAAGACAGAAUCAGGCUGUCUAUAUGUUCCUGACUGGGGAGACUUGCGCAAGGAUAUCAUUAGAGAGUGUCAUGACUCUCUAUGGGCUGGACACCCUGGUAUAAACCGCACCAGGGCAUUGGUGGAGCGAGCCUACUCUUGGCCUCGGCUGAAGCAUGAUGUGGAGGCCUAUGUGAGAACUUGUCUGGUGUGCCAGCAAGACAAGGGCGAGCAGAGGAAGCCCGCUGGACUGCUGGAGCCCCUGCCCAUUCCAGAAAAGCCGUGGGAGUCAAUUUCCAUGGACUUCAUUGUAGGGCUCCCUAAGGUGGAGGGAUGUGGAAAUAUUAUGGUGGUUGUGGACAGGUUUAGCAAGUAUGCCACCUUUAUCCCUGUCCCUGAUAAGUUUAAUGCUGAAGAUGCUGCCCGGUUGUUCUUUAAACAUGUUGUAAAGUAUUGGGGCAUACCUCGGUCGAUUGUGAGUGACCGUGACAUACGGUUCACAGGGAAAUUUUGGACCGAGUUGUUCAAACUACUGGGCACGGAGCUGAACUUUUCCACCUCUUUCCAUCCACAAACCGACGGGCAGACGGAAAGAGUCAAUGCCCUGCUGGAGAUGUAUUUGAGGCACUUUGUUAGUGCCAAUCAGAAGGGCUGGGUGCAGCUCCUUGAUGUAGCUCAAUUCUCCUAUAAUCUGCAAAAAUCUGAAGCCACUGGAGCUAGCCCGUUCGAAAUUGCCACGGGGAGACAACCUCUCACCCCUCACACAGUUGCCACAAGCUAUGGAGGGAGGAGCCCAGGUGCAUACAAGAUGGCUAAGGGAUGGCAGGAGAAAAGAGAAAUUGCUAAAGAAUACCUUAGCAAGGCAUCGAAGAAGAUGAAGAAAUGGGCUGAUGCAUCAAAGAGGCAUGUGGAGUUUAAGGAGGGAGACCUGGUGAUGGUCAAACUCCUUCCCCCUUUGCUGAGGAAUUAUGGGAAAGUCCAUAAAGGUCUUCUUCGGAGGUACGAGGGCCCCUUCCCAAUUGAAAAACGGGUUGGAAAUGUGGCAUAUCGAGUAAAAUUGCCUGAACAUAUUGAAGCUCAUCUUGUGUUCCAUGUGAGCAUGCUGAAACCUUUCCAUAAGGAUGAGGGUGAGCCGAGUAGAGGGGUAUCUCACCGGGCACCAGCUGCUGUUGGCAAGAGCUAUGCUAACCAAGUGAAGGAAAUUGUGUCUCAUCGGGUAGUGCCAAGGAGAGCCAACCAUCCAAGCUACAAGGAGUACUUGGUACGAUGGAAGGGCCUGUCCGAUACCGAAGCAACUUGGGAGCAUGAGCUCAACUUAUGGGAGAACGAGGAUGAGGUGCUAGCCUACUGGCAAGGGGCGACGAGGGCGUCGCCACAUUAGCUGGAGGAGAAUGUUACUGACCCAAAGAGCUCCCCCAAGUCCAACAGGCUGAAUGGGCCAACUAGCCAUCAUCAGGGGCGAUAUAUGCUGGAAAUUGGCUGGUGAAGCCUUGACGGGCUGAGUUGCCAAAAUCGGAUGUGGGUUGCCCAACUCGGAUUGGCCAGUAGGCCUACGGAUGGAUUGGCUGGCAGGGUGGAAGGCCUGCUAGGCGGAACUGAUAGGCGGGUGAAAAAUCUGCUGGGCAAAAUUAGCCAGCAGUAGCUGGCCUGGCAACAGGCAGCUCGGAUGCCCCAUAGGCCUACCAAGGAUAAACCGGCUUAACCCGUAGGCCAACCGUGAACGAGUUGGGAAGACUCGUAGGCCAAUCACGGAAAAGCUUGGGAAAGCCGUAGGCCUACCAAAGAGGGAGACUGCAUGACCUGUAGGCCUGCCAAGGGAGAACUUAGAUGCUUGGCAGAGCUGGUUGCCGCAGGAAGGCACAACUCGCGGAGUUGGCUUGGGCAGAAGGAUUGCUGGCCCGUGGAAUCUCGGCAAGGCAGGCAGACCUCCCCAGUUGGCCAACGAGCGCCAGACUGCAUGGCUGGCCAGCGAACGUGGCAGGAACGGCAGCCCACAGGCCUGUGACCUCACUGAGCGCUCAAGGUACGGGGGAAAGAUGCGCAGACCAUGUCCCAACACGCCCUACACCCCUGGCAGGCCAACCAGGAGAAAAUGGCAGAAGCUUGGAGAGUUCUCCAGAGAAUUCUGGAACCUCCUGGAGCAGUCUAGGCAAUUCUCCCAGUUUCUAGACAGAAAGACCAAGUGGCAGCCUCUUAUUGGUCCAGCUGAUCCAACGGUCAAGAAUUUUUCUUAUUUUCUUGAAUUAUCUCAGCCAUUAGAUGAGGAGGUGGGGGAACACUAUAAAUACCCCCUCCCCCUGCUUGAUUUGUACAGAUUGUGAAAGUGAAUUGUGAGUGAGUGUGUACUGUAAAGAGUGCUCUUGUAAUUCUCUUCUUAUAGCAAUACAAAGCAAGCUUCCCUUUUCAAUCUUCAGCAAUCACUUUACUUCCUUUUUUGCUUGUUACUUGUUUUCAUUGGCCAAUUGCUUCCAAGGGUGCUGAGCACUCUGCUGAAUUCAACCUCCUAUAGGUGAACUGCUGCUGAUGAGAAGGCUGACUUAGCCCAGAAGAGUGGUCUAAGUGCCGCACGUGGCCUUGGAGAGACGAAAUCAUUGGGUCUUCUAGCAAGGAACGUGACACAUGUCACUACGCCCACCGCUGAGUUGCUCCCGUUCUUUAAGAGCUAUGCUACCCAGACUACAAGCCCAUUGUUCCAUGGAUCUAUGCUUUAAUCUACAGCCUUGAAUCCUUUUACAACCCUUUGGUUUCCUGGGUUGUUAUUACUAAAACUGCUCUUCAUGAUUUGCUUCUUUAUGCCUCCUCUGUGAUGUUCUCCUUUACUGGAUAUAAAACCGUGUCCCCCACGCCGAUGCUUCAGGUGUUGUUGGAGGCCAUAUAUCUGCAGGCCGAUCUUUUAUGAAUAAAUUCUCGUCCGUGUGGG
RNAcentral lists this long non-coding RNA (7229 nucleotides) under Manihot esculenta (cassava). RNAcentral's name for it is "long non-coding RNA (MESC_LNC008962)". Lineage: Eukaryota; Viridiplantae; Streptophyta; Magnoliopsida; Malpighiales; Euphorbiaceae. The record is from RNAcentral.